RNAcentral lists this ribosomal RNA (1523 nucleotides) under Basiliscus vittatus (brown basilisk). RNAcentral's name for it is "16S rRNA". It matches the Rfam family "Bacterial large subunit ribosomal RNA", at positions 268 to 2831 of the family's 2925-position model. The record is from RNAcentral. Lineage: Eukaryota; Metazoa; Chordata; Lepidosauria; Squamata; Corytophanidae.
GCUAAACCUCAAGCCCACCUAACUCCACAAAACAAGACCAUACAUAACAAACCAUUUGCCACGAUUAGUAGAAGCGAUCAAACCCCACCAACGGCGCAAUAGAAACAGUACCGCAAGGGAAACAUGAAAAAACAAUGAAACAUCAAGCAAAACAAAGCAAAGAUUAACCCCUGUACCUAUUGCAUCAUGGUCUAACAAGAACCAUGCAGACAAGAUGACCCAAAGCCUGCACUCCCGAAACCAAGUGAGCUACCCAAAGACCGCCGAAAGGGCCAACCCGUCUCUGUAGCAAAAGAGUGGGAAGAUCUUCGGGUAGAGGUGAAAAGCCUACCGAACUUGCUGAUAGCUGGUUACCUAAUAAAUGAAUUUUAGUUCUACUUUAGACUCCAAACCACCCCCACUAGUGACCAAUUAGUCUAAAAUGUAUUCAAUGAGGGUACAGCUUCAUUGAAACAGGAUUCAACCUGAACUAGAGAGAUACAGACCAACACCACUUACAGUAGGCCUUAAAGCAGCCACCAAUAGACACAGCGUCACAGCACCCAAAACAAAAAUCCCACAAAUACCAUCAAUCUCCUAAUUCCCAUUAGGUCACUCUAUAUCCCUAUAGAGGAAACUCUGCUAGAACAAGUAACAAGAAACCUUCUCUUAGCAUAACUGUAAAUCAGUAACAGAAAAACUACUGAAAAUUAACAACACAAUACAAUAAAUACCCACAGUAUUACACCAACUGUUAACCCGACACAGGAAUGCAACAAAGAAAGAUUAAAAAUUGAAGAAGGAACUCGGCAACAUUAGUCCCAACUGUUUACCAAAAACAUAGCCUUUAGCCAUCCAAGUAUUAAAGGUAACGCCUGCCCAGUGAAGUAUUCAACGGCCGCGGUAUCCUAACCGUGCAAAGGUAGCGUAAUCACUUGUCUUCUAAAUAGAGACCUGUAUGAACGGCUAAAUGAGGACUAAACUGUCUCCUUUAACUAAUCAGUGAAACUGAUCUACCAGUACAAAAGCUGGUAUACACACAUAAGACGAGAAGACCCUGUGGAGCUUUAAACCAAGAGCCAAACAAGACUACCAUUCCUAGUCCAUGACUAACAGUUUUAAGUUGGGGCGACUUCGGAACAAAACCAAACUUCCGAGCAUACAGAAAAUUAAUCUAACCAAGGCCAACAAGCCAAAGAACAAUUGACCCAGUAAUACUGAUCAUCGAACCAAGUUACCCCAGGGAUAACAGCGCUAUCUUCUUUAAGAGUCCAUAUCGACGAGAAGGUUUACGACCUCGAUGUUGGAUCAGGACACCCAAAUGGUGCAGCCGCUAUUAAAGGUUCGUUUGUUCAACGAUUAACAGUCCUACGUGAUCUGAGUUCAGACCGGAGCAAUCCAGGUCGGUUUCUAUCUAUUCAGUAGCUCUCUUCAGUACGAAAGGACCAAGAAAGCAGGACCAAUACUAAUAGCACGUCCUAUAAACUCAGGCUGUAUCCAACUAAAGCCUAAUACACAACCAAACCCACGAGAUCAGUGGGUUA